UACGUAUGGAGCAAGCGUUAUCCGGAUUUACUGGGUGUAAAGGGUGCGUAGGUGGCGAGGCAAGUCAGAUGUGAAAUGCCGGGGCUUAACCCCGGAGCUGCAUUUGAAACUGCCUUGCUGGAGUGCAGGAGAGGCAGGCGGAAUUCCUAGUGUAGCGGUGAAAUGCGUAGAGAUUAGGAGGAACACCAGUGGCGAAGGCGGCCUGCUGGACUGAAACUGACACUGAGGCACGAAAGCGUGGGGAGCAAAC
This 250-nucleotide ribosomal RNA is filed under the name uncultured prokaryote. Its description in RNAcentral is "partial 16S ribosomal RNA". It matches the Rfam family "Bacterial small subunit ribosomal RNA", at positions 524 to 773 of the family's 1533-position model. The record is from RNAcentral.